This 740-nucleotide small RNA is filed under the name Pongo abelii (Sumatran orangutan). Its description in RNAcentral is "processed transcript". Lineage: Eukaryota; Metazoa; Chordata; Mammalia; Primates; Hominidae. The record is from RNAcentral.
CUUCGAAAUCGCCGCCGCUCUCACCAUGGCUUGGGUCCAGACUGCGCCACAGCCUCUCGGGAGACGUGGGCCCUCGGAACCUUUUUAGUGCCGGACUCCGGGCCGCAGGCAGUCCCGCGGCAGCAGGAUCACAGAACCUCUGGAUGGACUCUUCCUGGGAAGCUUUGCUACUUUGCAGCAGCUGGACCAUGUUCCUCAUUAACAUCUGUCUGUCAGCUUAGUCGUCACAUCAUUUCACUGUGGUGGCAGGGACUCAGCUCGGAAUUCUGUAUAGAAAAAGCACCUGGAUCUCAGUCUUUCAAUGGCUUCAAGACAACCAGAAGUGCCUGCUCUUGAGGCUAGUGGGCCUCUAGGCAAGAUGUCCCUGCCCAUCGGGAUAUACCGCCGGGCACUCAGCUAUGAUGAUACCCUCGAGGACCCUGCGCCCAUGACUCCUCCUCCAUCGGACAUGGGCAGCGUCCCUUGGAAGCCAGUGAUUCCAGAGCGCAAGUAUCAGCACCUCGCCAAGGCCUGAGCAAGGUAUCAGGUGUUUCGAUUGCAGAAGGUGGAGGCUGCCAGCUCUUGCAUGUUGAAAAUGAGGAGCUAAGUAGAUUUUUUUGUUUGUUUCAAAAGACCAUUACUUGAACCUUGGGAGCAGUGGUCCUCAAGGUGUGGUCUUGGGACCGGCAGCAUCAGUAACACCUGGGAAUUUAUUAGAAACAAAUUCUUGAACUCCACCCCAGACUAACCGGGACCUACUG